UGGCUCAGUUGGUAGAACAUGGUGUUUGCAACGCCAGGGUUGUGGGUUUGAUUCCCAU
RNAcentral lists this transfer RNA (58 nucleotides) under Salmo salar (Atlantic salmon). It matches the Rfam family "tRNA", at positions 8 to 63 of the family's 71-position model. From Rfam's summary of the family: Transfer RNA (tRNA) molecules are approximately 80 nucleotides in length. Their secondary structure includes four short double-helical elements and three loops (D, anti-codon, and T loops). Lineage: Eukaryota; Metazoa; Chordata; Actinopteri; Salmoniformes; Salmonidae. The record is from Rfam by way of RNAcentral. RNAcentral also lists the same sequence under 1 other name.